CCUACGGGUGGCUGCAGUGGGGAAUAUUGCACAAUGGGGGAAACCCUGAUGCAGCGACGCCGCGUGAGUGAAGAAGUAUUUCGGUAUGUAAAGCUCUAUCAGCAGGGAAGAAAAUGACGGUACCUGUAUAAUAAGCCCCGGCUAACUACGUGCCAGCAGCCGCGGUAAUACGUAGGGGGCAAGCGUUAUCCGGAUGUACUGGGUGUAAAGGGAGCGUAGGCGGCAGCGCAAGUCUGAAGUGAAAUGCCGGGGCUUAACCCCGGAACUGCUUUGGAAACUGGUCAGCUAGAGUGCAGGAGAGGUAAGUAGAAUUCCUAGUGUAGCGGUGAAAUGCGUAGAUAUUAGGAGGAACACCAGUGGCGAAGGCGGCUUACUGGAC
RNAcentral lists this ribosomal RNA (379 nucleotides) under uncultured bacterium. Its description in RNAcentral is "partial 16S ribosomal RNA". It matches the Rfam family "Bacterial small subunit ribosomal RNA", at positions 338 to 734 of the family's 1533-position model. The record is from RNAcentral.